This 1040-nucleotide ribosomal RNA is filed under the name uncultured bacterium. RNAcentral describes it as "bacterial SSU rRNA". It matches the Rfam family "Bacterial small subunit ribosomal RNA", at positions 382 to 1450 of the family's 1533-position model. The record is from RNAcentral.
CCUGACGCAGCGACGCCGCGUGAGCGAUGAAGGCCUUCGGGUCGUAAAGCUCUGUCGUAUGGGAAUAAAAAAAUGAAUGUACCAUACAAGAAAGGAUCGGCUAACUUCGUGCCAGCAGCCGCGGUAAGACGAGGGAUCCUAGCGUUGUUCGGAAUCAUUGGGCGUAAAGAGGGCGUAGGUGGCUAUUUAAGUCAGCUGUGAAAGCCUGAGGCUUAACCUCAGAAGUGCAGUUGAUACUAUUUAGCUUGAGUGUGGAAAAGGUAAUUAGAAUUCCUGGUGUAGUGGUGAAAUACGUAGAUAUCAGGAGGAAUGCCGGUUGCGAAGGCGGAUUACUAGUCCAACACUGACACUGAGGCCCGAAAGCGUGGGGAUCAAACAGGAUUAGAUACCCGGGUAGUCCACGCCGUAAACGAUGAAUACUCGUUGUUGGAGGUAUUGACCCCUUCAGUGACUAAGCUAACGCGUUAAGUAUUCCGCCUGGGAAGUACGGUCGCAAGAUUAAAACUCAAAGAAAUUGACGGGGGCCCGCACAAGCGGUGGAGCAUGUGGUUUAAUUCGAUGCAACGCGAAAAACCUUACCUGGGUUUGAAAUAGGCAAGAAAAGUACGAGAAAUCGUCUUCCCGCAAGGGCUUGUUUACAGGUGCUGCAUGGCUGUCGUCAGCUCGUGUCGUGAGAUGUUGGGUUAAGUCCCGCAACGAGCGCAACCCUUGCCUUUAGUUGCCAGCAUUUAGUUGGGCACUCUAGAGGGACUGCCGGUGUUAAACCGGAGGAAGGUGGGGAUGACGUCAAGCCCUCAUGGCCCUUAUAUCCAGGGCUACACACGUGCUACAAUGGCGGUCACAAAGGGCAACAGCAAAGUCGCGAGAUGAAGCUAAUCCCAUAAAAGCCGUCCAAGUUCGGAUUGCAGUCUGCAACUCGACUGCAUGAAGUUGGAAUCGCUAGUAAUCGCGGAUCAGAUGCGCGUGAUACGUUCCCGGGCUGUACACACGCCGUCACACCAUGAAGUCGGUGUACAGAGUCGCUGAGCUAACAUUGAGGC